UUUUUGUAUCUUGGACACAUUUAGUCACAGUUGAUGCCUUUUCUUUGUAGGUUGCGCUUCAUUGAGAGAAAUUUAUUCAAAAUUCUCCCUGUGCAAUUUAAAACUUUUGGGUGUGCCUUUGCCUUCUACAGCCUUUUCCAAUUCGAUUCUUCAGGAUUCGGGCAUGUACUGCUUCUGUUUUGGAGUUUUCUCAUCUUGGAGAAUCUAUGUUGAACCUUUUAGAUGGUAGAUCAAUGGUUCGGUCAAACUCCAGCCUUUAUCAUGCACAGGAUAUGAUGCACUAUCAUAGAAGUUUCGGUAUUUAGUAAAAUAAAUUUGGGUUCACUCUUAUGUUUUACUCAUAUAAUAUUUUUGUCUUUGAUAAAAACGAGGGUUAAUUUCUAAUAUGUGUUAUAUUUGAUUGAAUAGUCACUUUUUGGUUUUUCAAAUUAACUUCUACAAUUGUGUUGUAGUAAACAGUUUAUGUAUUUAUUAAAAUACAUUUCGGUUCA
Arachis duranensis is the source of this 491-nucleotide long non-coding RNA. RefSeq lists it as uncharacterized. The transcript has 2 exons. NCBI's taxonomy places the organism in Eukaryota, Viridiplantae, Streptophyta, Magnoliopsida, Fabales, Fabaceae. The record is from RefSeq and is a predicted model, not a curated record.